RNAcentral lists this ribosomal RNA (788 nucleotides) under uncultured bacterium. RNAcentral describes it as "bacterial SSU rRNA". It matches the Rfam family "Bacterial small subunit ribosomal RNA", at positions 30 to 812 of the family's 1533-position model. The record is from RNAcentral.
AGNACCUGGCGGCGGGCUUACACAUGCAAGUCGAAGGAGAAGGAAGGAGCUUGCUCUUUCUGGAGACUGGCGCACGGGUGAGUAACGCGUAGACAACCUGCCUAUAGCUGGGGGAUAACAUCUCGAAAGAGGUGCUAAUACCGCAUAAUGCAGCGGGGCCGCAUGGUCACAGUUGUUAAAGCCUUCGGGCGGCUAUAGAUGGGUCUGCGUGCCAUUAGUUAGUUGGUAGGGUAACGGCCUACCAAGGCGAUGAUGGCUAGGGGGUCUGAGAGGAUGAUCCCCCACACUGGGACUGAGACACGGCCCAGACUCCUACGGGAGGCAGCAGUGAGGAAUCUUGCGCAAUGGAGGAAACUCUGACGCAGCCACGCCGCGUGCCGGAAGAAGGCCCUAUGGGUUGUAAACGGCUUUUAAUUGGGAAGAAGGAUAGGGUUUUGAUCUUAUUUGACGGUACCGAUUGAAUAAGCACCGGCUAACUCCGUGCCAGCAGCCGCGGUAAUACGGAGGGUGCAAGCGUUGUCCGGAAUCAUUGGGUGUAAAGGGUGCGUAGGCUGGCUCUUAAGUCUGAGGUGAAAUCUUGCCGCUUAACGGUAAAAUGGCCUUGGAUACUGGGAGUCUUGAAUCUGACAGAGGUCGGUGGAAUUCGUAGUGUAGCGGUGAAAUGCAUAGAUAUUACGAAGAACACCAGUGGCGAAGGCGGCCGGCUGGGUCAGUAUUGACGCUGAGGCACGAGAGCGUGGGGAGCGAACAGGAUUAGAUACCCUGGUAGUCCACGCUGUAAACGAUGU